RNAcentral lists this ribosomal RNA (403 nucleotides) under Bartonella bovis. RNAcentral's name for it is "bacterial SSU rRNA". It matches the Rfam family "Bacterial small subunit ribosomal RNA", at positions 39 to 487 of the family's 1533-position model. Lineage: Bacteria; Pseudomonadati; Pseudomonadota; Alphaproteobacteria; Hyphomicrobiales; Bartonellaceae. The record is from RNAcentral.
GCAGCGCGGUUUACCCAUGCNNGUCGAGCGCACUCUUUUAGAGUGAGCGGCAAACGGGUGAGUAACGCGUGGGAAUCUACCCAUCUCUACGGAAUAACACAGAGAAAUUUGUGCUAAUGCCGUAUACGUCCUAAGGGAGAAAGAUUUAUCGGAGAUGGAUGAGCCCGCGUUGGAUUAGCUAGUUGGUGGGGUAAAGGCUCACCAAGGCGACGAUCCAUAGCUGGUCUGAGAGGAUGAUCAGCCACACUGGGACUGAGACACGGCCCAGACUCCUACGGGAGGCAGCAGUGGGGAAUAUUGGACAAUGGGGGCAACCCUGAUCCAGCCAUGCCGCGUGAGUGAUGAAGGCCCUAGGGUUGUAAAGCUCUUUCACCGGUGAAGAUAAUGACGGUAGCCGGAGAAG